Molecule: ribosomal RNA, 254 nt
Filed under: uncultured bacterium
Lineage: Bacteria
Description: partial 16S ribosomal RNA
Rfam family: Bacterial small subunit ribosomal RNA
Source: RNAcentral
UACGUAGGGUGCGAGCGUUGUCCGGAUUUAUUGGGCGUAAAGAGCUCGUAGACGGUUCGAUAAGUCGGACGUGAAAUCUCCACGCUCAACGUGGAGGGGCCGUUCGAUACUGUCGUGACUCGAGUCCGGUAGGGGAGUGUGGAAUUCCCGGUGUAGCGGUGAAAUGCGCAGAGGUCGGGAGGAACACCCGUAGCGAAGGCGGCACUCUGGGCCGGUACUGACGCUGAGGAGCGAAAGCGUGGGGAGCAAACAGG